ACCAGACAUAGUGGUAUACGCCUGUAGUCCCGGUUGCUAGGGUGGCAAAAGCUGAUGGAUCCUUUGAGUUUGGGAGUUCUGAGCUGCAGUAUGGCUAAAGUCAAUUGGGUGACCACACUAAAUCUGGCACCAAUAUGGUGAGCCCCUGGGAGUGGAGGGCUGCCAGGCUGUCAAAGGAUGGGUGAACCAGCCCAGGUUGGAAAAAUGGACCAAAUUAAAGCUUCCAUGCAAAUUGGUACUAAGAUUGGGCUCAUGAAUGCCCACUAUAUUUCCAGUCUAGAUGAAGUAAGGAAUCUCAGUCUAA
RNAcentral lists this signal recognition particle RNA (304 nucleotides) under Phascolarctos cinereus (koala). RNAcentral describes it as "Metazoan signal recognition particle RNA (ENSPCIG00000019945.2)". It matches the Rfam family "Metazoan signal recognition particle RNA". From Rfam's summary of the family: The signal recognition particle (SRP) is a universally conserved ribonucleoprotein. It is involved in the co-translational targeting of proteins to membranes. The eukaryotic SRP consists of a 300-nucleotide 7S RNA and six proteins: SRPs 72, 68, 54, 19, 14, and 9. The record is from RNAcentral. Lineage: Eukaryota; Metazoa; Chordata; Mammalia; Diprotodontia; Phascolarctidae.